ACUUUAUUUUUGGAGCUCAGUUGGCAGUUGCCUACUGAGUACCAUUCGUUUGGUACUCAUACUACACCUCUGCAGCCUGCAGAUUAUAGUACGAGUUAUCGCUGUUGAUGUGUGCAUCGUGUGGAGUAGCCCUGAUUCGGAAACUUAGAAUGAGCUCCUGACGUUCGGAAUAUUACUUAUCUCUCUCCUAUGUAUUAGACUAGCCUUUAAGUUGAUCAGUGUGUUUCUCCUUGAUAUAUCACUUUUGUACUCUUAUUAUGUUUAGAAGCUCUUUGCCUGAUACCAUCAGGUUUCGGGAUUCACCUAUGUAUUGAUCUUUUUCUCAUAUAUUCCGCAUUCUUUUUUUUAUGUUAUUUAGUAGUCUGUUACUAGCCGUUCCGGACUACAGGUUGGUUUGCCUACUGGUGGGUUAUGGUAGGCGCCAUCAUGACCUGAAAAGUUGGGUUGUGACAAUAGGAUUCAAGAAGAACAACAUAGCAUAGGAAAUGAUGAUCUUGUGGUGCGGAUCCACAAAUUUUACAACUCUGAACCUUAAGGCCAGCGUUCGUUUGAUAUUUGGCCGGCCCCCUCGAUAAGCAAAGAGGCUAAUGCAGAGGAAAGUUUAGCUUUCCCCAGGAAUAGUUCAUCAACUUGGCUAGCAAUUCAGCAAAGGCUAGCAACAGUCGACAAAUUAUCCAGAUGGGGAGCUCCGAUAGCCAAAGACUGUACUUUGUGACACUGGAUUGGAGGAAUCAUUUGCUCACCUCUUCUUUGAUUGCAUAUGCCUUAGCUCAAUCUGGAAGGUUUUAUUGAAGUGGUUAGGUGUUACACGACAUUCCACAUGCUGGGAAACUGAAAUUACAUGGUUGACACAAAGAGCGAAGACUAUAAGACCAAAAGCUGAGAUUCUGAGGUUCCUAAUUCAACGCAACAGUGUACCAUGUCUGGUUGGAAGAAAUACCAGAAGACUCCAAGAAGUUCAGUGAGUGUGUUCAUACAGAUUGAAGGAGCUAGUAGUUCAGCUAGCUAUCAAAGGGAUUCAGCUAGCUAAAUGGAAGCAAUUGCUAGCGGCAUUGAAUAGAUAUCCAGUCUGAGAAAUAGGUUUUCCUGAUGUUGUUUUUUUCUUUUUUUUUUUCCUAGACUAGGAGUGCUUCUAAAAUUUGUGAGGUCUGGUUCCUGGCAUACAUAUGGACUAGGAGUUAUAAAUAGACUAACUUUGUUGAAUACAACUUUCCCUGUUCUUACAAAUAGAAUAAAUCUGUGUUAUUUGUAUGAUUGGUGCUCUGACUGAAAUUAGCUCAGAUUUCUUCAGUGGGAGUGAGCACUUUAUCAA
Long non-coding RNA from Capsicum annuum, 1312 nucleotides. RefSeq lists it as uncharacterized. Lineage: Eukaryota; Viridiplantae; Streptophyta; Magnoliopsida; Solanales; Solanaceae. The transcript is spliced from 3 exons. The record is from RefSeq and is a predicted model, not a curated record.